This 491-nucleotide ribosomal RNA is filed under the name uncultured bacterium. RNAcentral's name for it is "partial 16S ribosomal RNA". It matches the Rfam family "Bacterial small subunit ribosomal RNA", at positions 29 to 506 of the family's 1533-position model. The record is from RNAcentral.
AGUGAACGCUGGCGGUAGGCCUAACACAUGCAAGUCGAACGGCAGCACAGUAAGAGCUUGCUCUUACGGGUGGCGAGUGGCGGACGGGUGAGGAAUACAUCGGAAUCUACUUUUUCGUGGGGGAUAACGUAGGGAAACUUACGCUAAUACCGCAUACGACCUACGGGUGAAAGCAGGGGAUCUUCGGACCUUGCGCGAUUGAAUGAGCCGAUGUCGGAUUAGCUAGUUGGCGGGGUAAAGGCCCACCAAGGCGACGAUCCGUAGCUGGUCUGAGAGGGUGAUCAGCCACACUGGAACUGAGACACGGUCCAGACUCCUACGGGAGGCAGCAGUGGGGAAUAUUGGACAAUGGGCGCAAGCCUGAUCCAGCCAUACCGCGUGGGUGAAGAAGGCCUUCGGGUUGUAAAGCCCUUUUGUUGGGAAAGAAAAGCAGCAGGUUAAUACCCCGCUGUUCUGACGGUACCCAAAGAAUAGACACCGGCUAACUUCGU